AAAUGCGAUAAGUAAUGUGAAUUGCAGAAUUCAGUGAAUCAUCGAAUCUUUGAACGCACAUUGCGCCCGCCAGUAUUCUGGCGGGCAUGACUGUUCGAGCGUCAUUACAACCCUCAGGCCCCCGGGCCUGGCGUUGGGGAUCGGCGGAAGCCCCCUGCGGGCACAACGCCGUCCCCCAAAUACAGUGGCGGUCCCGCCGCAGCUUCCAUUGCGUAGUAGCUAACACCUCGCAACUGGAGAGCGGCGCGGCCACGCCGUAAAACACCCAACUUCUGAAUGUUGACCUCGAAUCAGGUAGGAAUACCCGCUGAACUUAAGC
Molecule: unclassified non-coding RNA, 319 nt
Filed under: plant metagenome
Description: partial contains 5.8S ribosomal RNA, internal transcribed spacer 2, and large subunit ribosomal RNA
Rfam family: 5.8S ribosomal RNA (bases 1-104)
Source: RNAcentral